CACACACACACACACACACACACACACACACACACACACCCGCGCACACACACACACACACACACAUAUACCAUUUGUUGCGCAGGAGUAUGAGGUGUGUUCUUAAUGAUACGUAUAAGAUCACGAGGGGAACCCUCUAAUCCAGGCAUCAUUCUGAUAUGCCUCUUCCGCCCCCUCAAACGCCUUCACAUCCUUCCUGUAAUGGGAUCGACCAGAACUGUACGCAAUAUUCUAAAUGCGACCGGCACAACAUCCUAUAAAUCUGUAUCGUGACUUCCUGACUCGUAUACUCAAUUCCACGACCGAUGAAGGCAAGUAUACCAUACGCUGUUAUGGGUCCCCUCACGAUGUCCCCUUACCUGCCAAAAACCUUGGAAAUCCGUGUCAAAGGUAGACAGGGUCACGAAGAUGGCUUUUACACAUUUGCCUUCAUCAGACAGUGUAUUGGGUGCAAAGACUUAGAGUUUAUGUUACUGUUGCACGAGCAGUUGUUGAGACUACAUUUGGAGUACCAUACAUUUGGAGCACUUUGUUCACUUUUGCAGACCCUGUUAUGGAAAGGUUGUUGUUAAGCUGGAGAAGUGCUGAGAAGAUUUACGAAGAUGUUGCCAGGACUCGAGGGCCUGAGCUAUAGGGAGCAAUUGACCAGGCUAGGAUUAGAGCGCAGGAGGAUGCGAUGUGGUCUUAUAGAGGUGGGUAAAAUCACAAGGGGAAUAAAUAGGGUAAAUUCACACUUUUACCCAGUGUAGAACAAUUAAGAAUCAAAAAACCAUAGGCGAAAAAUUGAACAGGAACCUGUGGGACAAUGUUUUUAUUUCCGCACAGUUUGUUCACAGAGGUUAUCGGGUAAAUGAACUGUCCAAUCAGUAACAAGAGAGCGGUCCUGACCCUUAUACUGAUUGAGGACCUUCGAACGAUCUUUAAUCGGACUUUCCUGGACUUUAUUUUGCACAAAAGAUUAUAACUUUAUUCUUUAUGGGUCCACUCUGAAUGGAUUGUUCGUAAUCUUUUGCGGACUGGAUAGCACACAACGACAAAAACUUUCACUGUACCCCAGUGCACGUGACAAUAUACACCUUACUAAACGAAUCCGAUCUACAUCAAUCUGAACUGAAGUCAUCGAGUAAUACAGUAUGGCCAACUUCGGCCAAACUUCCCCACACCGGCCAACACGUCCCAGCUACACUACCCUCACUUCACCGUGUUUGGUCCAUAACCCUCGAAACAUGUCCUAUGGAUGUGACUGUCUAACUGUUUCUUAAAUGUGGGGAUUGCCCCUGCCUCAACUACUUCCUCUGACAACUUGUUCCACACACGCACCGCCCUAUGUGUGAGAAAGUCACGCCUCAAAUUCCUAUUAAAUCUUUUCCGCUUCAUUUUGAACCUGUCCUCUGGACCUCGGGUCCUCGAUUCACUACUCUGGGCAAGAUACUCUGUACGUCUACGCGAUGUAUUCCUCUCUUGGUUUUAUACAUUUCCACAUGAUUGGGAUUGGUUACCCUUGGAGAAGGGGCGUUUCUAUGCCACGUCACCCCUGUCACACCCCAUGCACAGUGCGAUUACGGUCCACUCCCACGUACGGCGCUCGAUCUCCUAACUUCUGUCUUUGAGUGGAGCGAGCCCACGGAAAGAUGUUUCUCCUUCUCGCUGUGGUGACCUGGUUUCAUUUUGUGAACUCGGUGACCGUCCACCAGAAUCCAACCACGUUUUCAGGAGUUCCCGGGAAUUUAUUGGAGCUGCGCUGCACGGCGGAGGGAGGGGACAACACUAACUAUAUGUACUGGUACGGACAGUCCGCCGCGGAGGGGCUGCGGAACCUGUUCUUUUCCAUGAAUCCGAUGCACGUGGAUCCGAAGGAGACGACGAACGGUCUCUACGCGGUCAGAAAAGACAACCAGUUCGAUCUGAAAUUCACCGGCCUGGCGGCGAAUCACUCAGCCCGGUAUUUCUGCGCAUGGAGUAUACACAGCGACGCGACGAGGCGGCCGAGGUCGACAAAAACCUUCCUCGCCUUUUAA
This is a non-coding RNA of Leucoraja erinaceus (little skate), 2018 nucleotides long. The record is from the annotation of a RefSeq genome assembly. Lineage: Eukaryota; Metazoa; Chordata; Chondrichthyes; Rajiformes; Rajidae.